AGCCACAGCCAUAUCACCCUGCAGCUCAAGACCGGUUACUUGCUGAAGAUAAGCAGGGCUGAGCCUGGUCAGUACCUGGAUGGGUGACCACAUGGGAAAACUAAGUUGGAAGUGGUGU
Molecule: ribosomal RNA, 118 nt
Organism: Danio rerio (zebrafish)
Lineage: Eukaryota; Metazoa; Chordata; Actinopteri; Cypriniformes; Danionidae
Source: Ensembl